CCUACGGGCGGCUGCAGUGGGGAAUAUUGGACAAUGGGGGGAACCCUGAUCCAGCCAUGCCGCGUGUGUGAAGAAGGCCCUCGGGUUGUAAAGCACUUUCAGUGAGGAAGAACGCCUGGUGGUUAAUACCCAUCAGGAAAGACAUCACUCACAGAAGAAGCACCGGCUAACUCCGUGCCAGCAGCCGCGGUAAUACGGAGGGUGCGAGCGUUAAUCGGAAUUACUGGGCGUAAAGCGCGCGUAGGUGGCUUGAUAAGACGGUUGUGAAAGCCCCGGGCUCAACCUGGGAACGGCAUCCGGAACUGUCAAGCUAGAGUGCAGGAGAGGAAGGUAGAAUUCCCGGUGUAGCGGUGAAAUGCGUAGAGAUCGGGAGGAAUACCAGUGGCGAAGGCGGCCUUCUGGACUGACACUGACACUGAGGUGCGAAAGCGUGGGUAGCAAACAGGAUUAGAUACCCUUGUAGUC
This 465-nucleotide ribosomal RNA is filed under the name Vreelandella stevensii. RNAcentral describes it as "partial 16S ribosomal RNA". It matches the Rfam family "Bacterial small subunit ribosomal RNA", at positions 338 to 795 of the family's 1533-position model. Lineage: Bacteria; Pseudomonadati; Pseudomonadota; Gammaproteobacteria; Oceanospirillales; Halomonadaceae. The record is from RNAcentral.